AGGCAAAUCCGGAAAAUCAAGGCUGAGGCGUGAUGACGAGGCACUACGGUGCUGAAGCAACAAAUGCCCUGCUUCCAGGAAAAGCCUCUAAGCAUCAGGUAACAUCAAAUCGUACCCCAAACCGACACAGGUGGUCAGGUAGAGAAUACCAAGGCGCUUGAGAGAACUCGGGUGAAGGAACUAGGCAAAAUGGUGCCGUAACUUCGGGAGAAGGCACGCUGAUAUGUAGGUGAGGUCCCUCGCGGAUGGAGCUGAAAUCAGUCGAAGAUACCAGCUGGCUGCAACUGUUUAUUAAAAACACAGCACUGUGCAAACACGAAAGUGGACGUAUACGGUGUGACGCCUGCCCGGUGCCGGAA
RNAcentral lists this ribosomal RNA (359 nucleotides) under Escherichia coli. Its description in RNAcentral is "partial 23S ribosomal RNA". It matches the Rfam family "Bacterial large subunit ribosomal RNA", at positions 1534 to 1874 of the family's 2925-position model. Lineage: Bacteria; Pseudomonadati; Pseudomonadota; Gammaproteobacteria; Enterobacterales; Enterobacteriaceae. The record is from RNAcentral.